This 20-nucleotide small nuclear RNA is filed under the name Arabidopsis thaliana (thale cress). RNAcentral's name for it is "snRNA_15473". Lineage: Eukaryota; Viridiplantae; Streptophyta; Magnoliopsida; Brassicales; Brassicaceae. The record is from RNAcentral.
CAUUUUGAAAUCGCUCUAAC